This 77-nucleotide transfer RNA is filed under the name Kitasatospora xanthocidica. RNAcentral's name for it is "Streptomyces xanthocidicus tRNA-Asp". It matches the Rfam family "tRNA". Rfam says of the family: Transfer RNA (tRNA) molecules are approximately 80 nucleotides in length. Their secondary structure includes four short double-helical elements and three loops (D, anti-codon, and T loops). The record is from RNAcentral. Lineage: Bacteria; Bacillati; Actinomycetota; Actinomycetes; Kitasatosporales; Streptomycetaceae.
GGUCCCGUAGCUCAGCAGGUCAGAGCACUGCCUUGUCACGGCAGAGGCCGCCGGUUCAAGUCCGGCCGGGGCCGCCU